AAAGAAACUAACAAGGAUUCCCCUAGUAACGGCGAGCGAAGCGGGAAGAGCUCAAAUUUGUAAUCUGGCGCUUUCAGCGUCCGAGUUGUAAUCUCUAGAAAUGUUUUCCGCGUUGGACCGCACACAAGUCUGUUGGAAUACAGCGGCACAGUGGUGAGACCCCCGUUCAUGGUGCGGAUGCCCAAUGCUUUGUGAUACAUUUUCGAAGAGUCGAGUUGUUUGGGAAUGCAGCUCAAAAUGGGUGGUAAAUUCCAUCUAAAGCUAAAUAUUGGCGAGAGACCGAUAGCGAACAAGUACCGUGAGGGAAAGAUGAAAAGCACUUUGGAAAGAGAGUUAACAGUACGUGAAAUUGUUGGAAGGGAAACGCUUGAAGUCAGACUUGCUGUUCGGAGUUCAGCC
This 399-nucleotide ribosomal RNA is filed under the name Thalassiosira rotula. RNAcentral describes it as "partial Eukaryotic large subunit ribosomal RNA". It matches the Rfam family "Eukaryotic large subunit ribosomal RNA", at positions 58 to 454 of the family's 3401-position model. Lineage: Eukaryota; Bacillariophyta; Thalassiosirophyceae; Thalassiosirales; Thalassiosiraceae. The record is from RNAcentral.